Molecule: long non-coding RNA, 307 nt
Organism: Salvelinus namaycush (lake trout)
Lineage: Eukaryota; Metazoa; Chordata; Actinopteri; Salmoniformes; Salmonidae
Exons: 3
Source: RefSeq, a predicted model, not a curated record
CAGCCUCUGCUGUCACCAGUAACCCCAGGGCCUCCAGUUCUCUGGACAGGGCAAUGACUAGAGGUCAUCAUGGGGUGACACUGCCCCAGUGUCCAGGUGCAAGUGGAGCAGACUGAGGGAGAGAGACACUCACCUCGGCUCCAGCCCCAUCCUCACCCGCCAGCAGCUCGUCUGCCUGAGGUGAACAGUGUGACAUCACACACACGCUGCGACCAAACCUCAGCAACAGCUGCUACUGUACAUGAACUCCACCCUGCAGUGUCUGUUGGCCUUGAAAGCCUUCUUCCAGGACUUCUGUAAGCUUGCA